RNAcentral lists this unclassified non-coding RNA (2016 nucleotides) under Hevea brasiliensis (rubber tree). Lineage: Eukaryota; Viridiplantae; Streptophyta; Magnoliopsida; Malpighiales; Euphorbiaceae. The record is from RNAcentral.
UUAUUUAUUUUUAAGGAAUCUGGCAUUAAAAAGGUGCUAUCAGACUAAACUUGCAAGUGCUGCCUUAGCCUCAAAUGGGAUAGGAUGACAUCUCAUCUUAUCUUUUUGCCCUCUGUUUGCAGGCAAAUAGCGUUUGGCAUUAUUCAACUGGCAACCAAUUGACUCUUAGAUCACCAUUUAGUCACGAUAAAUACUUGUACAAACUAAAGAAACUUGAAGACUUUAUUGUCAAUCCUUCAGUUCAUAAUGAACUACAAGAGGCCUCCAAUUUAGAUUAAAGAUUCAAGGCUUGAAUGAAGGAGGCUUCCUAAUCUUAGUAGCCUGCUCAAAGCCAUAAGCAAUCUCUAUUAGUUUGGGCUCUGUACCUUUCAAUCCUCCAAAGCAGAUGCCAAAAGGCACCCCCUCAGUGUCAUACCCAGCGGGGACAGUGAUUCCUGGAUAUCCUCCAAUUGCAAGCAGAGUUGAGAUAUAUGAGCUCCUUCUUAAAUCAUAUGGAGUCACUAGUGCAUCUAGUUUAUGCUUCCUCACCAAUUCCUCCAAUCCAUUUCUUGAAAGUUUGUUCAGAUUUGCCACUACUAGCUUCAGUGGCUUGUCAGCUCCCUUCAAAGAUUCAGCAGCUUCAAACAGGUCUUGACCAUAUUCCUUGGUCUUUUCCAAGUUGGAGAAUUUCUUAUUGAAGGCAAUGAGGUCUGCUAAGGUUCGCACUGGGGAUUUCACCAGUUGUUUUAGGUAUCCAUUUAUUGCUGGCUUGAACUCAGCCACCAGCGCAAAUUGUUCUCCACUUCCAGUGAAAUUUAUGAUCUCAUCAAUGUUGGAAAUUUCCAAAUGAUCAAUCAGAAUUGCUCCCUUUUGCCUUAGUUUGUCCAAGUGGUGCUCGAAAGCUCGAGUUAGAACAGAUCCCUCGUCAUUAUAGAACUUGAAGAAAGGAUUCCUAACUAUCCCUAAUCGCUUCUCUUGAAGGCCAUUAGGCUUAAGGAAUUGCUUGUAGCCACCCUGUGGAAUGAACUUGACUGCAGCUCUAGUCGCAUCAUCAUAAUAAUCAAAGCCUACAAUGGCAUCAAGGACAUAAACAGCAUCUCUCACUGUCCGGCACAUUGGCCCAACUGUAUCCUGUCUAGGGGAGAUUGGGACAACUCCAGAUCUACUAGUGAGACCAACGGUUGGUUUAAUACCCACAAUUGAGUUAAUACUGGAUGGACACAAGAUAGAGCCAGAAGUCUCAGUCCCCAGGGACACUGCUACCAUAUUUGCUGCUACCGAUAUUCCUGAUCCGCUACUUGACCCACAAGGCCCUGCUGAUAGAACAUAAGGAUUCAUUCCUUGACGUUUUCUUCCACAGAAGCCAUUAGGUAAAAAAUUCGAUCUAAAAGCAGCCCAUUCGGUCAUGCUAGCCUUCCCGAAUAUGAUGGCUCCAGCUUUCCUCAACCUCACCACAACACCUGCAUCUCGGGGAACGACUGAGCCAAGCAGCGCAAAAGAGCCAGCAGUGGUGUUGAGCUUAUCUUUGGUAGCAAUGUUAUCUUUGAGCAGGAUAGGAAUGCCAUGUAAACUAUGCAAAGAUCCUGGAGCCUUAGCCUUACGCUCUUUAUCGGCCUUAUCAGCCAGGUAGAGAGAAUCAGGGUUCACUUCUAUGACCCCUCGAAGGAGAGGAUUGAGCCUGCGGAUUUCUUUGAGGUAGAACUGAACGAGUUGUCUGGAGUUUAGAUGUUUCUGCUGAAAUGCCAGUUGAAGAUCAUCAAUGGUUGCUUCUUUAAUUGAGAAAGCGAUUGUUAUCUUGGUGAAGAACCCACAUAAUAAUAUGGAUACAAGAAUUGAAAGAAGUAUUGAAUUGGUAGACAUAGCUCAGCUCUGCUCAAAUGAAGAGUUGAAUCAUUUAGCUUAAUUAUUCGCUCUGGAUUUGGUACGGAGUGAAUGAGAAAUGAUGCUGCUUUAUAAAAGGAUAAGAAAUCCAGAAUUUAUAUUAUACAUAAAAUUUCUUUCGUCGGGAGCAUUUGUCCAACAAUUCUUGAGAUAAUC